RNAcentral lists this ribosomal RNA (1330 nucleotides) under metagenome. RNAcentral's name for it is "bacterial LSU rRNA". It matches the Rfam family "Bacterial large subunit ribosomal RNA", at positions 1578 to 2925 of the family's 2925-position model. The record is from RNAcentral.
UUCCGGGGCGAAGUAGCUGAUUUCACACUGUCAAGAAAAGCUUCUAUCGAGUUUAAAGGCGCCCGUACCGUAAACCGACACAGGUGGGUGAGGAGAGUAUCCUAAGGCCAGCGAGAGAACUAUUGUUAAGGAACUCGGCAAAAUGACCCCGUAACUUAGGGAGAAGGGGUGCCUGUCUAUGACAGGCCGCAGAGAAUAGGCCCAAGCGACUGUUUACCAAAAACACAGGUUUCUGCUAAGUCGCAAGACGAUGUAUAGGAGCUGACGCCUGCCCGGUGCUGGAAGGUUAAGGGGAUCUGUUAGAGCAAUCGAAGCAGUGAACUUAAGCCCCAGUAAACGGCGGCCGUAACAAUAACGGUCCUAAGGUAGCGAAAUUCCUUGUCGGGUAAGUUCCGACCCGCACGAAAGGCGUAACGAUUUGGGCACUGUCUCAACAAUAGACUCGGUGAAAUUGUAAUCCCGGUGAAGAUGCCGGGUACCUGCGACAGGACGGAAAGACCCCAUGGAGCUUUACUGUAGCUUGACGUUGGGUCUUGGUACUACAUGUACAGGAUAGGUGGGAGACUAUGAAGCAUGGACGCCAGUCUGUGUGGAGUCAUCCUUGGGAUACCACCCUUGUAGUACUGGGAUCCUAACCAUAGGCCUUGAAUCAGGUCUUGGAACACCGUCAGGUGGGCAGUUCGACUGGGGCGGUCGCCUCCUAAAAAGUAACGGAGGCGCUCAAAGGUUUCCUCAGCACGGUCGGAAAUCGUGCGGAGAGUGUAAAGGCAAAAGGAAGCUUGAUUGCAAGACAUACAGGUCGAGCAAGGACGAAAGUCGGACUUAGUGAUCCGGUGGUACCGCAUGGAAGGGCCAUCGCUCAACGGAUAAAAGCUACCCUGGGGAUAACAGGCUUAUCUCCCCCAAGAGUCCACAUCGACGGGGAGGUUUGGCACCUCGAUGUCGGCUCAUCACAUCCUGGGGCUGUAGUAGGUCCCAAGGGUUGGGCUGUUCGCCCACUAAAGUGGUACGCGAGCUGGGUUCAGAACGUCGUGAGACAGUUCGGUCCCUAUCCGUCGCAGGCGUAGGAAAUUUGAGAAGACCUGUCCUUAGUACGAGAGGACCGGGAUGGACGUACCUCUGGUGUACCAGUUGUUCUGCCAAGGGCAUGGCUGGGUAGCUAUGUACGGAAUGGAUAAGCGCUGAAAGCAUCUAAGCGCGAAGCCAACCUCAAGAUAAGAUUUCCCACCGUAAGGGUAAGACCCCAGGAAGACUACCUGGUUGAUAGGUCGAAGGUGUAAGUGCAGUAAUGUAUUUAGCUUAUCGAUACUAAUAGGUCGAGGACUUGACC